This 1372-nucleotide ribosomal RNA is filed under the name Escherichia coli. RNAcentral describes it as "partial 23S ribosomal RNA". It matches the Rfam family "Bacterial large subunit ribosomal RNA", at positions 1 to 1403 of the family's 2925-position model. Lineage: Bacteria; Pseudomonadati; Pseudomonadota; Gammaproteobacteria; Enterobacterales; Enterobacteriaceae. The record is from RNAcentral.
GGGUUGUGAGGUUAAGCGACUAAGCGUACACGGUGGAUGCCCUGGCAGUCAGAGGCGAUGAAGGACGUGCUAAUCUGCGAUAAGCGUCGGUAAGGUGAUAUGAACCGUUAUAACCGGCGAUUUCCGAAUGGGGAAACCCAGUGUGAUUCGUCACACUAUCAUUAACUGAAUCCAUAGGUUAAUGAGGCGAACCGGGGGAACUGAAACAUCUAAGUACCCCGAGGAAAAGAAAUCAACCGAGAUUCCCCCAGUAGCGGCGAGCGAACGGGGAGGAGCCCAGAGCCUGAAUCAGUGUGUGUGUUAGUGGAAGCGUCUGGAAAGGCGCGCGAUACAGGGUGACAGCCCCGUACACAAAAAUGCACAUGCUGUGAGCUCGAUGAGUAGGGCGGGACACGUGGUAUCCUGUCUGAAUAUGGGGGGACCAUCCUCCAAGGCUAAAUACUCCUGACUGACCGAUAGUGAACCAGUACCGUGAGGGAAAGGCGAAAAGAACCCCGGCGAGGGGAGUGAAAAAGAACCUGAAACCGUGUACGUACAAGCAGUGGGAGCACGCUUAGGCGUGUGACUGCGUACCUUUUGUAUAAUGGGUCAGCGACUUAUAUUCUGUAGCAAGGUUAACCGAAUAGGGGAGCCGAAGGGAAACCGAGUCUUAACUGGGCGUUAAGUUGCAGGGUAUAGACCCGAAACCCGGUGAUCUAGCCAUGGGCAGGUUGAAGGUUGGGUAACACUAACUGGAGGACCGAACCGACUAAUGUUGAAAAAUUAGCGGAUGACUUGUGGCUGGGGGUGAAAGGCCAAUCAAACCGGGAGAUAGCUGGUUCUCCCCGAAAGCUAUUUAGGUAGCGCCUCGUGAAUUCAUCUCCGGGGGUAGAGCACUGUUUCGGCAAGGGGGUCAUCCCGACUUACCAACCCGAUGCAAACUGCGAAUACCGGAGAAUGUUAUCACGGGAGACACACGGCGGGUGCUAACGUCCGUCGUGAAGAGGGAAACAACCCAGACCGCCAGCUAAGGUCCCAAAGUCAUGGUUAAGUGGGAAACGAUGUGGGAAGGCCCAGACAGCCAGGAUGUUGGCUUAGAAGCAGCCAUCAUUUAAAGAAAGCGUAAUAGCUCACUGGUCGAGUCGGCCUGCGCGGAAGAUGUAACGGGGCUAAACCAUGCACCGAAGCUGCGGCAGCGACGCUUAUGCGUUGUUGGGUAGGGGAGCGUUCUGUAAGCCUGCGAAGGUGUGCUGUGAGGCAUGCUGGAGGUAUCAGAAGUGCGAAUGCUGACAUAAGUAACGAUAAAGCGGGUGAAAAGCCCGCUCGCCGGAAGACCAAGGGUUCCUGUCCAACGUUAAUCGGGGCAGGGUGAGUCGACCCCUAAGGCGAGGCC